RNAcentral lists this ribosomal RNA (506 nucleotides) under uncultured bacterium. RNAcentral describes it as "partial 16S ribosomal RNA". It matches the Rfam family "Bacterial small subunit ribosomal RNA", at positions 30 to 523 of the family's 1533-position model. The record is from RNAcentral.
AUUGAACGCUGGCGGCAGGCCUAACACAUGCAAGUCGAACGGUAACAGGAAACAGCUUGCUGUUUCGCUGACGAGUGGCGGACGGGUGAGUAAUGUCUGGGAAACUGCCUGAUGGAGGGGGAUAACUACUGGAAACGGUAGCUAAUACCGAAUAAAGUCGCAAGACCAAAGAGGGGGACCUUCGGGCCUCUUGCCAUCGGAUGUGCCCAGAUGGGAUUAGCUAGUAGGUGGGGUAACGGCUCACCUAGGCGACGAUCCCUAGCUGGUCUGAGAGGAUGACCAGCCACACUGGAACUGAGACACGGUCCAGACUCCUACGGGAGGCAGCAGUGGGGAAUAUUGCACAAUGGGCGCAAGCCUGAUGCAGCCAUGCCGCGUGUAUGAAGAAGGCCUUCGGGUUGUAAAGUACUUUCAGCGGGGAGGAAGGGAGUAAAGUUAAUACCUUUGCUCAUUGACGUUACCCGCAGAAGAAGCACCGGCUAACUCCGUGCCAGCAGCCGCGGUAA